Molecule: ribosomal RNA, 423 nt
Filed under: uncultured bacterium
Lineage: Bacteria
Description: bacterial SSU rRNA
Rfam family: Bacterial small subunit ribosomal RNA
Source: RNAcentral
GAUGAACGCUGGCGGCGUGCUUAACACAUGCAAGUCGAACGAUUGAAGCUGGAGCUUGCUCCGGCCGAUUUAGUGGCGGACGGGUGAGUAACGCGUGGGUAACCUGCCUCAUACAGGGGGAUAGCAGUUGGAAACGACUGGUAAAACCGCAUAAGCGCACGGUAUCGCAUGAUACAGUGUGAAAACACUCCGGUGGUAUGAGAUGGACCCGCGUCUGAUUAGCUAGUUGGUGAGGUAACGGCCCACCAAGGCGACGAUCAGUAGCCGGCCUGAGAGGGUGAACGGCCACAUUGGGACUGAGACACGGCCCAAACUCCUACGGGAGGCAGCAGUGGGGAAUAUUGCACAAUGGGGGAAACCCUGAUGCAGCGACGCCGCGUGAGUGAUGAAGUAUUUCGGUAUGUAAAGCUCUAUCAGCAGGGA